This 137-nucleotide ribosomal RNA is filed under the name uncultured bacterium. RNAcentral describes it as "partial 16S ribosomal RNA". It matches the Rfam family "Bacterial small subunit ribosomal RNA", at positions 366 to 520 of the family's 1533-position model. The record is from RNAcentral.
GUCCCAUGGGCGCAGCCUGAUGCAGCAUGCCGCGUGUAGGUGGAAGGCCCACGGGUCGUCAACUUCUUUUCUCGGAGAAGAAACAAUGACGGUAUCUGAGGAAUAAGCAUCGGCUAACUCUGUGCCAGCAGCCGCGG